GCCGGAGUGGCGGAAUAGGCAGACGCACCGGACUUAAAAUCCGGCGAGCCGAAAGGUUCGUACCGGUUCGACCCCGGUCUCCGGCACCA
Molecule: transfer RNA, 89 nt
Filed under: Eubacteriales Family XIII. Incertae Sedis bacterium
Lineage: Bacteria; Bacillati; Bacillota; Clostridia; Peptostreptococcales; Anaerovoracaceae
Description: tRNA-Leu
Rfam family: tRNA
About the family: Transfer RNA (tRNA) molecules are approximately 80 nucleotides in length. Their secondary structure includes four short double-helical elements and three loops (D, anti-codon, and T loops).
Source: RNAcentral